This is a long non-coding RNA of Cavia porcellus (domestic guinea pig), 534 nucleotides long. RefSeq lists it as uncharacterized. The transcript has 3 exons. The record is from RefSeq and is a predicted model, not a curated record. NCBI's taxonomy places the organism in Eukaryota, Metazoa, Chordata, Mammalia, Rodentia, Caviidae.
GUGUUUCCAGCCCCAAACCAGCAGGUGACCCCCAAAGAAGUCUAUAUUGGAAUCCUUGUUUUUAGCUCGAUUUUGUUCAUUAUUUUGGUUGUCAUUAUUAUCCAAAAAUAUUACAUCAGCAAAAAGAUGACAUGGACACUAAGCAAGGUUUUGUGGACCCGUCCUCAAAUUCAAGCUUUUCAACUGCAAGAUCCGGUAGAAGACCAAGUCUACAUCGUGAAGGAUAAUGUUUAUAACCUUGAUUAAGACUCAGCGGUAUUCUCUGCCUGGAAUCACCAUGUCCAUCACCUUUUCACCCUCAGGACCAUCUCUCGGCAUCAGUUUUAUCUGUCAUUCCCACGGAUCAGUGCUGUUGGAUAAGGGAACUCUUGGAGUCAAAGCUGUAUAGUCAUGUUCAUUGUUAAUGCAGCCCAGUCUUUCCAUACACUGUGGAGAUCGUGGUCAGACAUGAACCCCUCAGGGUUUUGUGUUCUUUGGACUCUAUGUUUCUUCUACCCAUCAAAGAAAGUAAUAAGGGGUGGCAUAGCAAAUGAA